RNAcentral lists this unclassified non-coding RNA (283 nucleotides) under Hevea brasiliensis (rubber tree). The record is from RNAcentral. Lineage: Eukaryota; Viridiplantae; Streptophyta; Magnoliopsida; Malpighiales; Euphorbiaceae.
GGAGGAGUUGGUGGAACGUAAGUUCAUUGAAAUUAAAAAUUGAAAUAUAUAUCACAAGUGAAUGUGAAGAAUACUAUACAAAAGGGUUUCAAAUUUGCUAAAUACAGUUUCUUAGAGUAAGAUAACAAGAAUGUUGAUAGAAAUAUUUUGCAUGCUGUGGAAGUUGAUGAAUUUUGAGCAAAUAAAACAUGCUACUGUUAUGUUGUAUAAUGUUAUAUGAUGCUAAGAGACGUGCUAUGAUUCUGUGAGCAUGCUACAGAUAUUUUGUGUUAAUGUUAUAUGA